CUUUCCAGUUCGUGGCACGCCAGGGCAUUUCGCCCCAGCAGCUGUGCACCUGGCAGAUGAGCUUGGUAAGGUCGCUGGACCACCAGGCUGGCGGGUUCUGGCGGACUUCGCGAAGGUUGUGCGGGCAACAGGGCAGGAGUGCUUCGUGGGCAUCAGGGACUCCACUGGGAACACACCAAUGGCUGACUGCAUGGCUGGGAGCUGAAAUCAUCAGAGGUUACUGCACUCACUUUCUGGCAUCUGCGAUGGGAUGACUCAAGGUCAGGAUUCAAGAGGAAGGCAACAGUCUGCCAUCUGGGUGAGGAUUCUUAGCAGAAUCUGACUGUGCUUCCAGCCUCUAGAACUGGCUCAUGGAUUUUUUUGGAAAUUAGGUAUGGCAAGUCAGGGUUACAUACAACAAGCAGUGUUUGGAGACCAGCUCUUUAAAAAGGGUGACCAUAUGCUUUUGGUGGCCAUGUUAAUAAUUAGAAGCCUGCACAAAACUAGAAUUGUUUUGUAAGUCAUUUUUGAUGAUGUUUGCACUUAUGUAAAAAAAAAAAUCUGUAAAAUAUAUAGAGUAUUAGAAUUCAAGGUGUCUUCUUUUCUUCAUAUUAAGAAACAUUACUGACCUUUUUUUAAAACUCAUUUUGCACUUUUUUAUUUGUUUUAAAUUAUUGAAGUGUGUUCAGCUGUAAAUAGAUGAUGUUUUCUGCUGGUAAGUGCUGUGGGGAGGACAGAUAUUCCUAAAGAUUGAAU
Sus scrofa (pig) is the source of this 735-nucleotide non-coding RNA. NCBI's taxonomy places the organism in Eukaryota, Metazoa, Chordata, Mammalia, Artiodactyla, Suidae. The record is from RefSeq and is a predicted model, not a curated record.